AACGAACGCUGGCGGCAUGCCUAACACAUGCAAGUCGAACGAUUAUGGAACUAGCUUGCUAGUGCCCAGAUAGUGGCAGACGGGUGAGUAACGCGUGGGAAUCUACCUAGUAGUACGGAAUAGCCGUUGGAAACGACGAAUAAUACCGUAUAUUCCCUGAGGGGGAAAGAUUUAUCGCUACUAGAUGAGCCCGCGUUAGAUUAGCUAGUUGGUAGGGUAAUGGGCCUACCAAGGCAAUGAUCUAUAGCUGGUCUGAGAGGACGAUCAGCCACACUGGAACUGAGAUACGGUCCAGACUCCUACGGGAGGCAGCAGUGGGGAAUAUUGGACAAUGGGCGAAAGCCUGAUCCAGCAAUGCCGCGUGAGUG
RNAcentral lists this ribosomal RNA (368 nucleotides) under uncultured bacterium. Its description in RNAcentral is "bacterial SSU rRNA". It matches the Rfam family "Bacterial small subunit ribosomal RNA", at positions 29 to 407 of the family's 1533-position model. The record is from RNAcentral.